UUGGAAGUACCAGUUCUCAUAUGAUCACCAAAGUUAAGCAAUGUCAAGUCUGGUCAGUACUUAGAUGGGGUGAAUGUUUGGGAAUACCAGGUGCUGUAAG
Molecule: non-coding RNA, 100 nt
Organism: Acanthosepion pharaonis
Lineage: Eukaryota; Metazoa; Mollusca; Cephalopoda; Sepiida; Sepiidae
Source: the annotation of a GenBank genome assembly